RNAcentral lists this ribosomal RNA (205 nucleotides) under uncultured eukaryote. RNAcentral's name for it is "partial 18S ribosomal RNA". It matches the Rfam family "Eukaryotic small subunit ribosomal RNA", at positions 1299 to 1458 of the family's 1831-position model. The record is from RNAcentral.
UGGUGGAGUGAUUUGUCUGGUUAAUUCCGUUAACGAACGAGACCUUAACCUGCUAAAUAGUAACUACUAAGCUUUCGAAAAACAUAUUUACGUUUAGGGUGAAGUUUCGAUGGAAUCCGACGCGUAGGUAUGUGGAUGUUUAGUAGGAUUCACUUCUUAGAGGGACUAUCUGUAUUAAAGCAGAUGGAAGUUUGAGGCAAUAACA